Long non-coding RNA from Sparus aurata (gilthead seabream), 3046 nucleotides. The record is from Ensembl. Lineage: Eukaryota; Metazoa; Chordata; Actinopteri; Spariformes; Sparidae.
AUGCACUAUAAUGAAAAUGCCCAGAGAGUUCAUGCAUCCACCACAGCUGGAGAACUACGGUAUUCCAUUGUCUACCCGAAAUACAAACAUGGGGACUUUACUGUGCGACCCAUACGGGGUCAUCCUACGUCAGGGUACGUUGAGACACUGAUGGAGCUUCUCUUCAACAAUGUGGUGAAAGACCCGGGUGCAUACCAGGACUUUCUGGACACAGUCCUUGUGCCAGAGAAACUUUGUUCCCAGUACACCAGACCUGACAAGAGGGAGGCAGUGGCCAGGCACAAGUCACGGUUCUUCAAGAACAUGUGAGUUUUGGCUCACUACAUAUAAUAGUAUGUUGUAAGAAUACAUUUUGGUUAUUGAUGUUUAUGUAAUUAUUUUUGCCAGUUCUAUUACCAUCAUUUGCUUUAGCUUUUUUUUUUUUUUUUUUUUACAGGCACCAAUGACUUCCUGACACACAUGGAGCUCUGAACAACAUUAUGCAUCUUAUGUAGAUUUGCUAACUGUGAGGUUCAUUGUAGUUAAUGUACCCCCACAAGGAAACUAUAGCGGAAGUUGUUAGAUUGAAUGCAUCAUACAGUGUGUGACAGCUAUUGCAUACACUCGAGGUUAAACUGUGUAUUAGAUUCCACUAGGCCAGUGGUUCUCAAACUUUUUCGGUCAUUCCCCACAUUGGACAAGGGGAGAUUUUCAAGCCCCACCUUGGGGAGGGUGGGGGUAGGUCACGUCAUAAUUUCAUAAGUCUAAGAAAAAACUUUCCCCUGUCUGUCUGUCUCAUUGUGGAAGAGAAGCGCCAUCAGUGUCUCAACGUAGCCUAAAGUGUAAGGAUAGAACAGGGUAGUAACACAUUUCCCCAAAAUCAAUCAUGAUACCACUAAUGACCGAAAAAGUUUGAGAACCACUGGCCUAGUGGAAUCUAAUACACAGUUUAACCUCGAGAGCCAGGUACUGAUCCACUCUUAAAGCAGAAACUCCGCCCACAGCCCUGCGCGGUGAUAGGCUUAUCCAGACCACUCUGAUCAGGAGCAGAGCAGGAACACCUGGACAGGUAACAGUACUGGAGUGGAGGAGAGAAACACAGGAGCGGAGCGGAGAAGAAGCUGCAGCCUGGGGCCGUAACAAUUGUGCACUUUAUGAAAAUGUUUUUGAGGUGAUGGGCACCUGUGUUUACAAUAUGAGCACUUCUUGUGAAGUUAUACGUAUUUUAUUAUUUUGAAUGCUCUGAACACUACUGUACAUCUCAUAGAUUUUCUAAAUGUGAGGUUCAUGUACCUUCGCAAGGAAACUGUAUUGAAACUUGUUGGAUUGCACUGAAAAGUAUGUUUAAAAUUGACAGCCAUGGACAUUGUAGAGUUCAAAGAAGAUUUUUAACAAGUGGGGAGAGUUGACAGAUGGCAUUGAAAAAAAAUUAAUCAAGGGGGGGGGAGUUGGAACCCUGUGUAGUUUCCCUCGUUUUCAGGGAACUCCUGCCUGAUGCGGGUGACGGCACAAGAUGGGAUGACAACCCUGAUAUGCCGGCCCAAGUACCCAACUGCAAUGAACCAGCUUUGGGGGGGCCCAGCUUGCAAAAGGUUGAGAACCCCUGUGUUAGCUUGUUGUUGUAGCCACAAGCUAGGAACGGUCGCUAUUUUCAAAUUAAAAGCCCCCCGCUAAGAACCCAGUUCUAAACUCUAAACUAAAGCUUUUAUUUUGAAGACAAAUUUGUUGUCAACUGUUCACAGCCCAACUUCGGGCUUCACGUCACGCCUACCUCUUAGGCGGCUUUUGGAAAAGGAAGAAUAUUAUGCCUCCGUUUGAGAAAGCCAAUCACAGCAGCUAUCACCUAUCACCUAGCCAAAGAUACGUCCCCAAUAAACACUUUACAACAUUAAGUAUUAAAGGAUGCCCUCUCAUCUUGGAGACUUUUUUUUUUUUUUUACUUUUGUAUAAAUCAUUUCUCAUCCAAUGAUUGAACUUGAACAAAACAAAAAAAACAUUGCUUUGGCAGAGGCAUAGUAGUAUGUCUCUGCCAUACUACAAUGUUUUUUUUUUGUUUUGUUCAAGUUCAUCACUGCAAUAAAUAUUUUGUGAAAAAAAUUGUGCCAGAGAAUCGUGAUCUCAAUUCUAAGCAAAAAAAUUGUGAUUCACAUUUUUUCCAGAAUCGUGCAACCCUAAUGCCAAUUACACAAAUUGCCCAGCAUGCAACUCUUGGCAAUCAAGUUGAAUUUCAUCCAGUAGGCCUAUAGAUGACAUUUCAAUCAUAAAAGUUGAUAGAAAGCACAUACAUAGUUCAUUUGAUCUUCUCCCUCCCUUUACUGUUUUUACUUCAUAUAUAUUGGUCCCUGUAGUGAGUUUGUGAUUAUUUGGCAAAGAUUUCUCUAUCAACCUUUUGUAUAUAUGGCUUAAAAUAAUCUCCCCCUCACUGCAAAAGACAGAACAAGGAAGCUCCUAGCCUAACAUUAGUUAGGAAAUGAAAAGUGUUAUUAAGGUGUUAGUGUAGUGAAUGUAAGCUAGUAGCUAACUGAUUGACGAUGUCAGUUAGCAAUUUUGCUUGGAAUAAAGAUGGCUUGAGCAUUGCAGUUCUUUGUUUUAGGAUGCCUUGCAGUUGUAACCUAUGAAUCUCAUCAUCAUGCUGGUUAUUUUGAAAAUAAAUGUUGGAUUUGUCCCUACCCAAGCUGAGACCAAACUUAUGCCCUUGAUCUUACCCUCUUGGUUCUCGAUCGACUCCGAGCUGAACUGUUCACAGCUUCAGCCUGCGAUGCAAGAUCUGGUUGUUUGUACCUGAAGCUCCUGCGUACUGUCUCGUUAUGUCUUACAGGCAGGUGGAAAAAAAUUAAAUGAGAGUGGUACGAAUAAAAAAAAAGUCACAGUAAAAUUAAACAAGGAAGGAGAAAACAGUAAAAGUUACUUACACACAAUGGCGUCUUUAUCAGCAUCGUGUAAAUCUGAACUUGCAGAUAUAGUUCCGAGCAAAUAGGAGGUCACGGCCUCGUUAUGAGGCGAGGUUAGUCUGUGAAAACAAAAUGCUCGAAGCGAUAAACCCCCGUGUCCCUCUGCGGCAGCGAAG